This 254-nucleotide ribosomal RNA is filed under the name uncultured bacterium. Its description in RNAcentral is "partial 16S ribosomal RNA". It matches the Rfam family "Bacterial small subunit ribosomal RNA", at positions 524 to 776 of the family's 1533-position model. The record is from RNAcentral.
UACAGAGGGUGCAAGCGUUAAUCGGAAUUACUGGGCGUAAAGCGUGCGUAGACGGUUAUGUAAGUUAGGUGUGAAAGCUCCGGGCUCAACCUGGGAAUUGCGCUUGAGACUGGAUAGCUUGGAGUGCGGCAGAGGGGACUGGAAUUCCCGGUGUAGCAGUGAAAUGCGUAGAUAUCGUAAGGAAGACCAGUGGCGAAGGCGGGUCUCUGGACAGUUCCUGACGCUGAGGCACGAAGGCCAGGGGAGCAAACGGG